RNAcentral lists this non-coding RNA (203 nucleotides) under Firmicutes bacterium CAG:582. RNAcentral describes it as "Bacterial large subunit ribosomal RNA". It matches the Rfam family "Bacterial large subunit ribosomal RNA", at positions 2721 to 2925 of the family's 2925-position model. The record is from Rfam by way of RNAcentral. Lineage: Bacteria; Bacillati; Bacillota.
UUGUAACGCCAGUUGCAGUGCAGAGUAGCUAUGUCGGGAAGGGAUAACCGCUGAAAGCAUCUAAGCGGGAAGCCCACUUCAAGAUGAGUUUUCCCAUAUGUAUAUAGUAAGAACCGUUGUAGACUACAACGUUGAUAGGCUAGAGGUGGAAGCGUAGUGAUACGUUGAGCUGACUAGUACUAAUAGUUCGAGGAUUUAAUCAU